CAGCAGCCGCGGUAAUACGUAGGGCGCAAGCGUUAUCCGGAAUUAUUGGGCGUAAAGAGCUCGUAGGCGGUUUGUCGCGUCUGCCGUGAAAGUCCGGGGCUCAACCCCGGAUCUGCGGUGGGUACGGGCAGACUAGAGUGAUGUAGGGGAGACUGGAAUUCCUGGUGUAGCGGUGAAAUGCGCAGAUAUUAGGAGGAACACCGAUGGCGAAGGCAGGUCUCUGGGCAUUAACUGACGCUGAGGAGCGAAAGCAUGGGGAGCGAACAGGAUUAGAUACCCCGGUAGUCCCUGUCUCUUAUAC
This 301-nucleotide ribosomal RNA is filed under the name uncultured bacterium. RNAcentral describes it as "partial 16S ribosomal RNA". It matches the Rfam family "Bacterial small subunit ribosomal RNA", at positions 509 to 807 of the family's 1533-position model. The record is from RNAcentral.